AGAGUUUGAUCAUGGCUCAGGAUGAACGCUAGCGGCAGGCUUAACACAUGCAAGUCGAGGGGUAACAGGGGAGCUUGCUUCCGCUGACGACCGGCGCACGGGUGCGUAACGCGUAUAGAACCUACCUUUUACAGAGGGAUAGCCUUUAGAAAUGAAGAUUAAUACCUCAUAGUAUUGAGACUUGGCAUCAAGACUUAAUUAAAGAUUUAUCGGUAAAAGAUGGCUAUGCGUCCUAUUAGCUAGAUGGUAAGGUAACGGCUUACCAUGGCAACGAUAGGUAGGGGUCCUGAGAGGGAGAUCCCCCACACUGGUACUGAGACACGGACCAGACUCCUACGGGAGGCAGCAGUGAGGAAUAUUGGGCAAUGGAGGCAACUUUGACCCAGCCAUGCCGCGUGCAGGAAGACGGCCCUAUGGGUUGUAAACUGCUUUUAUACAGGAAGAAACACUCGUACGUGUACGAGCUUGACGGUACUGUAAGAAUAAGCACCGGCUAACUCCGUGCCAGCAGCCGCGGUAAUACGGAGGGUGCAAGCGUUAUCCGGAAUCAUUGGGUUUAAAGGGUCCGCAGGCGGUCAAUUAAGUCAGAGGUGAAAUACCCUAGCUCAA
This 609-nucleotide ribosomal RNA is filed under the name uncultured bacterium. Its description in RNAcentral is "bacterial SSU rRNA". It matches the Rfam family "Bacterial small subunit ribosomal RNA", at positions 8 to 612 of the family's 1533-position model. The record is from RNAcentral.